ACUAAUUGAACUUUUUUUUGAAAAAAAUAUUUGGUACAGGUUGUAGAUAAUAAUAAUAGCUAUCUGCGUUACCAAAUAUUUUUUGCCCAAAGUUCAAAAUAUUUGAAAUAUUUGAAAAAAUGUUAAAAUCUCCAUACAUUUCUUCGACCGAAAACUUCUGCCUCGAUAUGGUGCUCUUCGUUUGCUUAUACAUGGGCAUGAUCUCGGGCAUGAUGACUUUUCGCGACUACGAAGGUAAAAGAGAUUCCAACUCUUUGUCGCUCUAAUGAAAAACCUCGUAAGGAACUGUCAGAAUGUGCGUGAAAAAAAAAGCCAAAAAAAUUUCCCUCCCGUUUUUUCUCACGUAAACCUUCACGCACAUUCGACAACUUCGUAGUCGCGAAUAUACAUGGAUUCUUACCCAUCUGUCAAUGAAAAAAAAAAAAAAACUCGAAGACGAACCGGAAUGGCAGCAGAAGAGUGAAAAUUUGAAACAAAAGUAAAAAUUUAUCCUACAAACAAUAUUACAGGUAGAUUUUACGUGAGAAAAGUGAAACGAUGCUUCCGGAACACUAUGUCUUCACCGGGCAACAAAAUCUUCGUCGUCCGCGGAGAAAAUUCCCGGGGGAAAACAUUUCAUGUUUCUCCUGUCGAGGGCAAUGCAUCGUGGUUUUUGCUGGAGCUAAAUCUCAGGAGGAGCUGAUUUUCAUGUUGGAGCGCAUUGUUCUGGUGACGGUGGUCACUCAUGCAGGGUUGGUUGGUACGCGCACCUUUACGCUGAUUGCAGAAAGAGGUUAGAUCAAACAUCAGCGCCUCCUGAAAUUAAGAACGGAAGUCUGAAACCACAACCUAGUGUUAUUGAAUGUUCAAAGCCGCCUCAUUUGUCGCAUCGAUAUGCAGAGAUUCACCUGGAGAAGCUCUUCUUAAACAAGACAUCGUCCAGUGGAAAAGGGACGACCAAAUGCAGCAACCGGCAUAUCUUUCCGAAACUGAACUUCAAACUAAAUAAGAUCUGCCACCACAUAUAUUCCUCCUUUCUUCCGACAUUCAUGAUUAUGUUCAAGAUUUAUCGUUCCGGUUACCAAACCACCUACAUGUCGAACUCACAAGCGAACACCAUCACAGACCUCUCCAGCCUGGUCACCGUCCGCAUUAGAUAAGUUGGAAAGGUUUUCUUUUUUACAUUAAUAAUUUAUAUAUGCAUAAAAGUAAUAAAACGUAUCUUAUGGGGGUGGGGGGAGUUCUGCUGGACUUAAAAAA
Molecule: long non-coding RNA, 1239 nt
Organism: Aedes albopictus (Asian tiger mosquito)
Lineage: Eukaryota; Metazoa; Arthropoda; Insecta; Diptera; Culicidae
Exons: 3
Source: RefSeq, a predicted model, not a curated record